AUGAACGCUGGCGGCGUGCCUAAUACAUGCAAGUCGAGCGAACAGACGAGGAGCUUGCUCCUCUGACGUUAGCGGCGGACGGGUGAGUAACACGUGGAUAACCUACCUAUAAGACUGGGAUAACUUCGGGAAACCGGAGCUAAUACCGGAUAAUCUAUUGAACCGCAUGGUUCAAUAGUGAAAGACGGUUUUGCUGUCACUUAUAGAUGGAUCCGCGCCGCAUUAGCUAGGUGGUAAGGUAACGGCUUACCAAGGCGACGAUGCGUAGCCGACCUGAGAGGGUGAUCGGCCACACUGGAGCUGAGGAACGGUCCAGACUCCUACGGGGGGCAGCAGUAGGGAAUCUUCCGCAAUGGGGGAAAGCCUGACGGAGCAACGCCGCGUGAGGGAUGAAGGUCUUCGGAUCGUAAAACUCUGUUAUUAGGGGAGAACAAAUGUGUAAGUAACUAUGCACGUCUUGACGGUACCUAAUCAGAAAGCCACGGCUAACUACGUG
Molecule: ribosomal RNA, 496 nt
Filed under: uncultured bacterium
Lineage: Bacteria
Description: partial 16S ribosomal RNA
Rfam family: Bacterial small subunit ribosomal RNA
Source: RNAcentral